UUNUAGCGCGGUGGUCCCACCUGACCCCAUGCCGAACUCAGAAGUGAAACGCCGUAGCGCCGAUGGUAGUGUGGGGUCUCCCCAUGCGAGAGUAGGGAAC
This 100-nucleotide ribosomal RNA is filed under the name Escherichia coli. Lineage: Bacteria; Pseudomonadati; Pseudomonadota; Gammaproteobacteria; Enterobacterales; Enterobacteriaceae. The record is from RNAcentral.